RNAcentral lists this ribosomal RNA (251 nucleotides) under uncultured bacterium. RNAcentral's name for it is "partial 16S ribosomal RNA". It matches the Rfam family "Bacterial small subunit ribosomal RNA", at positions 525 to 775 of the family's 1533-position model. The record is from RNAcentral.
ACGUAGGGUGCAAGCGUUGUCCGGAAUUACUGGGUGUAAAGGGAGCGCAGGCGGACCGGCAAGUUGGAAGUGAAAUCCAUGGGCUCAACCCGUGAAUUGCUUUCAAAACUGCUGGCCUUGAGUAGUGCAGAGGUAGGUGGAAUUCCCGGUGUAGCGGUGGAAUGCGUAGAUAUCGGGAGGAACACCAGUGGCGAAGGCGACCUACUGGGCACCAACUGACGCUGAGGCUCGAAAGCAUGGGUAGCAAACAG